RNAcentral lists this ribosomal RNA (1491 nucleotides) under metagenome. RNAcentral's name for it is "bacterial SSU rRNA". It matches the Rfam family "Bacterial small subunit ribosomal RNA". The record is from RNAcentral.
AGAGUUUGAUCCUGGCUCAGAUUGAACGCUGGCGGCAUGCCUUACACAUGCAAGUCGAACGGCAGCACGGGUGCUUGCACCUGGUGGCGAGUGGCGAACGGGUGAGUAAUAUAUCGGAACGUACCCUAGAGUGGGGGAUAACGUAGCGAAAGUUACGCUAAUACCGCAUACGAUCUACGGAUGAAAGUGGGGGAUCGCAAGACCUCAUGCUCAUGGAGCGGCCGAUAUCUGAUUAGCUAGUUGGUGGGGUAAAAGCCUACCAAGGCGACGAUCAGUAGCUGGUCUGAGAGGACGACCAGCCACACUGGAACUGAGACACGGUCCAGACUCCUACGGGAGGCAGCAGUGGGGAAUUUUGGACAAUGGGGGCAACCCUGAUCCAGCAAUGCCGCGUGAGUGAAGAAGGCCUUCGGGUUGUAAAGCUCUUUUGUCAGGGAAGAAACGGGAUUUUCUAAUACAAAGUCCUAAUGACGGUACCUGAAGAAUAAGCACCGGCUAACUACGUGCCAGCAGCCGCGGUAAUACGUAGGGUGCAAGCGUUAAUCGGAAUUACUGGGCGUAAAGCGUGCGCAGGCGGUUGUGCAAGACAGAUGUGAAAUCCCCGGGCUCAACCUGGGAAUUGCAUUUGUGACUGCACGGCUAGAGUGUGUCAGAGGGGGGUAGAAUUCCACGUGUAGCAGUGAAAUGCGUAGAGAUGUGGAGGAAUACCGAUGGCGAAGGCAGCCCCCUGGGAUAACACUGACGCUCAUGCACGAAAGCGUGGGGAGCAAACAGGAUUAGAUACCCUGGUAGUCCACGCCCUAAACGAUGUCUACUAGUUGUCGGGUCUUAAUUGACUUGGUAACGCAGCUAACGCGUGAAGUAGACCGCCUGGGGAGUACGGUCGCAAGAUUAAAACUCAAAGGAAUUGACGGGGACCCGCACAAGCGGUGGAUGAUGUGGAUUAAUUCGAUGCAACGCGAAAAACCUUACCUACCCUUGACAUGUACGGAACUUACCAGAGAUGGUUUGGUGCUCGAAAGAGAACCGUAACACAGGUGCUGCAUGGCUGUCGUCAGCCCGUGUCGUGAGAUGUUGGGUUAAGUCCCGCAACGAGCGCAACCCUUGUCAUUAGUUGCUACGAAAGGGCACUCUAAUGAGACUGCCGGUGACAAACCGGAGGAAGGUGGGGAUGACGUCAAGUCCUCAUGGCCCUUAUGGGUAGGGCUUCACACGUCAUACAAUGAUACAUACAGAGGGCCGCCAACCCGCGAGGGGGAGCUAAUCCCAGAAAGUGUAUCGUAGUCCGGAUUGUAGUCUGCAACUCGACUACAUGAAGUUGGAAUCGCUAGUAAUCGCGGAUCAGCAUGUCGCGGUGAAUACGUUCCCGGGUCUUGUACACACCGCCCGUCACACCAUGGGAGCGGGUUUCACCAGAAGUAGGUAGCCUAACCGCAAGGAGGGCGCUUACCACGGUGGGAUUCGUGACUGGGGUGAAGUCGUAACAAGGUA